Molecule: ribosomal RNA, 497 nt
Filed under: uncultured bacterium
Lineage: Bacteria
Description: partial 16S ribosomal RNA
Rfam family: Bacterial small subunit ribosomal RNA
Source: RNAcentral
GAUGAACGCUGGCGGCGUGCCUAAUACAUGCAAGUCGAGCGGACAGACGCUGAGCUUGCUCCUCUCACGUUAGCGGCGCACGGGUGAGUAACACGUGGAUCACCUACUUAUAAGACUGGGAUAACUUCGGGAAACCGGAGAUAAUACCGGAUAAUAUCUUGAUCCGCAGGGGUCGAUGGUGAGAGACGGUUUUGCGGUCACUUAUAGCUGGAUCCGGGCCGCAUUAGCUAGUUGGUAAGGUAACGGCUUACCACGGCAACGAUGCGUAGCCGACCUGUGAGGCGGAUCGGCGGCCCUAGAGCGUAGACAGGGUCAAGGCUACUACGAGACGCAGCAGUAGGCAAUCUGCCGCAAUAGGCGAAAGCCUGACGGAGCAACGGCGCGUGAGUGAUAACGGCGUUCGGAUCGUAAUACUCGGUUAUUAGUGAAAAACAGCUGUGUACGUAACUAUGGACGGCUUGACGGUACUUGAUCAGAAAGCCACGGCUAACUACGUG